This 122-nucleotide unclassified non-coding RNA is filed under the name uncultured fungus. RNAcentral's name for it is "sequence contains ITS1". Lineage: Eukaryota; Fungi. The record is from RNAcentral.
AAAAGGGUCCAACGACUCCAAAAACCUACCGUGCUCCCCAUGUGGAAAGCAGUUAGCCCUCGCCGGCAAUUGGUAUCUGAGAACAGAACUCGCGCCUCGGCGCAGAAUCAAUAAAUAAAUCA